Trichosurus vulpecula (common brushtail) is the source of this 104-nucleotide small nuclear RNA. Lineage: Eukaryota; Metazoa; Chordata; Mammalia; Diprotodontia; Phalangeridae. The record is from RefSeq and is a predicted model, not a curated record.
CCAUGUAGAAAUGAUCAUUGAAAUGCUUGCUUUGGCAUCACAUAGAAGAUUAGCAUGGCCCCCGAGCAAGAAUUACACACCUUUGUGAAACAUUCCAAAUUUUU